UGUGUGUAACAGGUGUGUAAAGAUUUAGCACUCGUCCAUCUUUUUUCCUUGCGAGCAUGGCUUACACACUUUCGAAGUGCGCAUGCUCUGUUUUGAAUGACGUAAUUUGUGAUGUCAUCAUAAUGGAGUUUUCCAGGGAAAGAAGUUGGCCCAUCUGAGGUAAGUAAACACGGUUGAAAGAAAAUUUUUGCAUAUUAACAAUGAGUUUUUUAUUAGAUAGACUGAUUAAAUGGUGUUUCAUACCGAUCGUGUUAUGUACAAGCGACAGAGUACCCGAGUUACUGAAAAUUCCGAUGAUGAAAGUGAUAUAUCUAGUACGUGAACUGUUUGGGUUUUUUUCUAAAAUUUAAUCUUUGCAGUUAAUGUACUCUGUAUACUAAAAAUUCAUAUUGAUUUUGGAUAGAAUUUCACAUUUAAAAACAAAUAGAUAUGCGCCAAGUCCUUAGGAAUCAACCCCACCCCCACCCCUCCACACGGGACUUUUUUUUUUGGAUGAUUGGACCGUAUCCCCCUUUUCAUCUGUCUCCCUACUUUGAAGUUUUUUUUCCCAACGCCAUGACAUAAAUAGAUAAAUAAAUAAAAUGCAAAAAUAAAAACGAAAGAUAUAUAUGUAUUCGGAUUGGCAUGUUCCACUUUGUCCGGGUUGAAAUCCCCGAGGAUGCAAAUGUACAUUACGCCGCACUGUUUGCAGUACGUACAUGGUACAGGUGUACCGCAUAGUGGUCUUCAACUUUUAAUCUCCAAGAAGGAAAUGUAAUUAAAAGAUGAAUAAAGUAUCCCUAAGAAUACCAGAAGAAAGGCUAUGUGUUGAGAAAAACAGCCCUUCCUCAGUACCUCAGAACUAGAUGAUAGCCCUUAAUUGUUACUUUAUACUGAAUAUGACACAGUAUAGAAGAUCUGAUCAUGAAGAAGUAACACCAUUGAUACACUUGCCAACUUCCAAAAUUACUUUCUGAUAGUAUGACAAGAUUAGAAGAUAUCAUGGUGUAGUCAUGACACAAACUGCAAAUCAAAGAAUUAAUUGUCUUCCCCAGAGGAUGAACAGAGCACGAUGGCUUCACAUGGAUAACAUUUCCUUUCGAGUUUUGAAAUUAAUUUGUCAGAAUGUUAUGCAUCAUUAUCAACAGAAAAGAACUUCAUAGGUAGACCAAAGCUGACAUGGGAUGAGAUCCUAGAACAAGACCUAGAGUUUACAGGAUUGGAUAGGAUCAAUCCACUGGGUCGCCAAGUGUGGAAGUACAAACUUCAACCUCGACAGGACAGCCAGGCCUCACCCUUGCAAAAAGAUUAAUUUGGCCUGGAUAGUCAAAAUGAGUGAUGAUGAUUGAUAUCAAGGUCUGACACUGGAAGCUCAGUAAGGGUAGAUGCUGGCAAUGGAGCUGUUUAGCAAUAAAACAAACAAGUUUAACAUUAAACAUGUUUGUAUACUUUUUUGGCUCACCUGAGCCAAAGGCUCAAGUGAGCUUUUCUGAUCACCUUUGCCUGUCGUCUGUCUGUUCAUAAACUUUUCACAUUUUCAUUUUCUUCUCCAGAGUGAACCACUGGGCCAGUUUCAAUCAAACUUGGUAUGCAUCAUCAAUAGAUAAAGGGUAUUCAAGUUUGUUCAUAUAAAGGGUCAUGCACCCUUCAAAAAGGAAAUAAUCAUGGAAAUGCAAAAAUAGGGUGGGGUCAUUUAAAAAACCUUUUCAAGAACCACUGGACCAGGAAAGUUGAAUUCACACGAAAGGUUCCUGUUUUGUGCAAAUCAUGGUCUCUGGGGGUAGGGUGGGGUCACAAUAGAGAAUCAAAGUUUUACAUUCAUAUAUAGUGCAUAUUCAAGUUUGUAAAAAGCUCACAGGGGUAGGGUGGGGGUCACAAUAGGGGAUUUAAGUUUUACAUGUGAAAUAUAUACAAGGAAAAUCUUUUAAAAUCUUCUCCUCAAAAACUAGAUGCAGAACCGUAGCUCUUUGAAAAGAGAGCUUCAGAUGAACCCCUUAUAAAAAAAACUUCAAUUUAUGGCAGAGAAAAAAAGUGCAUGUUUAAGUCCCUCUAUCACUGCAUUCCUGCAUCGCUGUCUCAUGAAUUUAAUAUUAAAUAAUUCCCAACAUAUUUUCCCACUAUACUUGUUUCCAAACAUACUUUCAAAUAUUUUCUAAACCCACAUAUAACCCCAAAACAGCUUCAAGUGAUUUCAAUUUCUUUGUUGAUGUAGCCAUGUUAAGUAGCCAGUCGAUUUGAACCCCAGUUCAUUUCCAUACUCAUACUCAUUUUGAAACAUAAUGUUUGUGUGAACUAAUAUCCUCACAAAUAUUUUUAGUGAAAUAUUUUGGAUGAAAUCAUCCCAGUUGGGUUAAAUACUUAUUAUUCAAAUACUGUAGGUUUGAAUAUUGAACUAAUCUCACAGCUUUCUUAAGUUUGGUCCCCAUCCCCACCAGUCUGUUUUUACGCUUAACUAUUGAAAUGAAGUGUAAGGGAUCAGACUAGGCUUUUAUAGCAUUAUCAAUUUUCAAAAGCUUUAGAAAAAUUAUACAAUUUUAGGUCACUUGAGUAAACUCAGAUGACAUAUUGCUAUUGAUCUGCAUCUGUUGUAGUCCAUCGACAUUAACAAUUGAACAUUUUUAACUAAAUUCUAUAACUGAAAGAUGAAGAUACCGCACAGCGAUCAAUCUACGAUUCAAAUAACGGAAUUCUUUUCAAAUUUAGUAUGAAGCACACAAAUUUACAUUAAACCUUCUUGACAUAGUGCAUAUUCAAGUUUGUUAAAAUCAUUUCCCCGGGAGUUAUGGUGUGGUAACAAUAGGGGGUCAAAGUUUUAUAUGCUAGCUGAUAUAAAGGAAAAUUCUUUAAAGAUAUCUCUUGAACUAUUUAAGCUAGGGCUUUCAUAUCUUGUAUAUACAAUUUUUAUGGCAAAACAAAUCUGACCUAUUCAGUAUGUCCUGAACUACAUUGUGUUUAAGGUAGAUCUUUCAUAUAUAUUAUAUAUUAUGAAUUUCUUAUGAUAAAACCUUUCAUCUUGUUGAGGAGCCUCUCACCUCUGGUUGGCGCGGGUUUGAAUCCUGCUCGCACCGGUAAUUGAGAAAGUUUCCCAGUUUACUCUCGGAAGGUCGGUGGUCUCUUCCCAGGUACAUUGUAUCUGGGUUCUCUCUUCCACCAAUAAAAACUGGGCACCACCAGAUAACUGAAAAAUUGUUGAGUGUGGCGGAAAACAGUUAAAACAAUCAAUCAUAUUAUGUUAUUUGACCUUGUGACCCUGAACUCUGAGUUUGACAUACUUUUAAGAAAGUAUAACGUAUUAAGUAUAUCCAGGACUAUUUUAGAUAGGGCUUUUAUGUUUUGUAUAUUGAUUACUUAUGGCAAGGUCUUUCAUAUCAUACCAAGACCUACGACUUCUUACCUUGGUCUUAUCCAGAACAGCAAUAUCAUGCUAGUCAUAUCUUUGUCUUAUAUGAUUUCAUUUUAGUAAUGUUGUGUUCUUUAGAGCUAGGUUUGGGUCACAUUAUUCAUGAGAAUAAAGAUUGAUAAAAUAGCAUUUAAAAAUCAAAACAGCAGGGCCAAGAUGACUCAGGUGAGCAAUGUGGCCCAUGGGCCUCUUGUUGAUUUUGAUAUUUCUACCUAUAUCAUUUGUAUGAGAAAUGGAACUCCUUUUUUUCUUUUACAAAUACAUGUAUUAUCAUAUGGAUCCAUCUUUGUUGAUUAUUUAAUCAAAGGACAUAUUCAAUGUAUUAAAUGUAAAUUUAUGGAUAUGUCUGUGGUUGAAUUACUUAUGUAUGUAUGUAUACAUUUUUCUCGCACAUGCAAUUACAUAUAUGAUGUAUAUAUAUUUACUAAUUGUACAUGUAAUAUCCCCUGUUAUAUAAUAAAAUAUAUGACUGAGAAUAAAAGACCUGCUGUUUUCAUUGCUACCAUGAAACAUUAAAAGAUUAGAAUAAUUCAAAUAUCUUAAUGAAUUCUAUAAUAUAUGAAUUUGAUAUUUGUAUAUGAUUGCCUCACUGGCGUUCAAUGUGAACUUUGGUUUAUUGUUUCAGUUUGCUCGAUCUUUAUAUCAAAUUAAAAUUUAAGACAAAUAAGGAAUUAUUUCCGAAAUUGGUUAAUAUGGUACAUUGUAGUAAAAUAAUCAAGAGUUUAUUCAUAUGAGAUAGCUAAAUUUCACAUGGAUAACCAGUGACUGAUUCUUGAUUGUCAACAUUUUCACCGAACAGUUCAGAAAUUACCAUGGUACAUGUACAUACUAUUAGGGGAUCAUAAAAUUCCUUAAAGAGUGACAAAUUUUUAAAUAUCACCUUUUCAAGGAGAAAAAUCCUCUUACGUAUAUGAAUACUAUGAAGAGAUUAAAAGAGAGGUGGCUAGAUCACUUGUAUGGUGAGAUUCAUUUGUGGCAAGAACUGGUAUGAUGUCUUGAGUCAGAAAGCACUGGAAUCCACUAGGAAUAGUUUUAGAUCUAUGGAGUGCCAAAAUAACAAACUCAGAUAUUUGAAGAUAUCUUUAAUUAUUUGAAGAUAUUAUUAAUUCAUUUCAUGCACGCAACAUUGCAAUCAAAGAUCUCUUCAAAUAAUUAAUGAUAUCUUCAUUUGAAUUGAAUUAUUGAUAUCAUUAUUUAUUCCGCUGAAUUGAUGCACACAAUAAUUUAAUUGUUGCUCUCCUCAAAUGAAUUAUAAUUUAAUGAUACCAACAAUAGAAUUAAUGCAUGCUACAAUUCAAUUGAAGAGAGCAAUAAUUCAUUAAUGCUAACAUCACUUAAUGUGCGCAAUAAAUGGAUUAUUGCUCUCUUCUAUUGAAUUAAUGAUAUCAUUAAUUAAAUUGAUGCGUGCAAUAAUUAUGUUAGUGAGAGUAAUUAUCUAAUUGAGAUAUAAUCCUUAAUUAAUUCGACAUAUCCACAACUGAAUGAAUGAUUUCUUUAAUUGAAUUGUUGCUCUCUUUUUAAAAACAAAACAACGAUGUGCGCAUUAAUUACCUAUGAAAUAGCCCUGUAUAUAUAAUUAAAAAGAUCUAUUGAAUUAAAAGAGAUAAUCAAGUCAUUCAUACAGAGCUCUAAAUUAAUUUUUGCAAGCAAUAUUUCCACCACAUGGAUAUUAUUGGACUUCAAUUAUUUGAGCUUAUGUAAAACAUUAAGAUUUUAAAAAUCAUCCUGGUGAAUUUGUAUUACAAAAGUCAUGAGAGGACACGUCCAGUUUUUGAACAAAAACAGAAAGUAAUAUAUUCCCUUGAAUUUGGUCAUCCCUGUCCUCAGUGUGUUUCAGACGUGUUUAGUGGUGGUGGGGGUGGGGGUGGGGGGUCCAACACGUUUAGCGGAUAUUUAGUUGUUGGCAUGUCGCGGGAGCGAAACCAGGAAUUAUCCAUGGGAAGGACGUAAUGAGUGCCUAAAGCACGAAAUCUCUAAACAAAAAUAUCUAAGAUGAAGGAAAAUCGUGAUUUUGGGGGGUUUUCUAUUACAAUUUUGUCCUCAUAUUUCAAAGUGAGAUGAUAGUCAAAAUUGACAUAAUUUCCAUGUACAUAUCAUAAACAUGUAGAUAUUUUUGUAACAGUAUAUGAAGGAAUCUGGAGCAAAUCCUGAUUCUGAAGUUAUAUAAACUGGUGUUAUACACCGGAUUUUCAAACAAUUUAUGGUUUUUGCAACGUUUGAUUAAAGUUUUCUGUAAGGCCACAUCUAUGUAGUUACAUUUACACAGAAUGUUCAUGAAAAUGUUACCUUUUGGAGUGGAAUUAAGAUAUCGCGUAACAUUUUUUUUUUUACAAAGAUAUCUAAUUUUUAUCUAUAUCAAAAGUCAACAAAAAACUUAAAAGUAAUACAAAAAAUGUAUAUAAUUAUUAAUACUUGUUUUAGAUCUUUUAGGCACUGCAUUAUACAGAAUUUUGAUUUUAUUUAUCAUACUUUUUGGUUGAAUUACUACCGA
Molecule: long non-coding RNA, 5870 nt
Organism: Ostrea edulis (European flat oyster)
Lineage: Eukaryota; Metazoa; Mollusca; Bivalvia; Ostreida; Ostreidae
Exons: 3
Source: RefSeq, a predicted model, not a curated record